UGAAAGGACUCUCUCCAGUUUUAAUUGGAUUAUUUUAGACCUGAAGGCUUCUUCUUCUGGGAAGGAGAGAUCCUGCACACUGAGCUCGUUGGAGGACACAGCUGCCACAAUGCAGAUCGUGGAACUGAAGUACUGCAACAUAAAGCACCGCAAUGAUGGUAGAAGUGGAACGAAACAGAGGAGAACUCGUACCCACAGGCCACAUAAAUCAAACCCAGAGAUGACAGAGUAGAAACUGAAGCCAAGCUGCACACAAACUACAGCUGACUGGAUGUGCUGGUCUGUGGAGAGCGAGCAGCUGCGACAGGUCACCCCUGAGGCUGGAGGAAGGGCUCUCCUGUGGGUGAAGUGUCCUG
Molecule: non-coding RNA, 356 nt
Organism: Lepisosteus oculatus (spotted gar)
Lineage: Eukaryota; Metazoa; Chordata; Actinopteri; Semionotiformes; Lepisosteidae
Source: RefSeq, a predicted model, not a curated record